RNAcentral lists this ribosomal RNA (823 nucleotides) under uncultured bacterium. RNAcentral describes it as "bacterial SSU rRNA". It matches the Rfam family "Bacterial small subunit ribosomal RNA", at positions 51 to 851 of the family's 1533-position model. The record is from RNAcentral.
ACACAUGCAGUCGAGCGGCAGCGACACAUUGACCCUUCGGGGGAUUUGUUGGGCGGCGAGCGGCGGACGGGUGAGUAAUGCCUGGGAACAUGCCUUAGUGUGGGGGAUAACCAUUGGAAACGAUGGCUAAUACCGCAUAAUCUCUACGGAGCAAAGAGGGGGACCUUCGGGCCUCUCGCGCUAAGAUUGGCCCAGGUGGGAUUAGCUAGUAGGUGGGGUAACGGCUCACCUAGGCGACGAUCCCUAGCUGGUCUGAGAGGAUGAUCAGCCACACUGGAACUGAGACACGGUCCAGACUCCUACGGGAGGCAGCAGUGGGGAAUAUUGCACAAUGGGGGAAACCCUGAUGCAGCCAUGCCGCGUGUGUGAAGAAGGCCUUCGGGUUGUAAAGCACUUUCAGCAGUGAGGAAGGCGGUAUCGUUAACAGCGGUAUCGUUUGACGUUAGCUGCAGAAGAAGCACCGGCUAACUCCGUGCCAGCAGCCGCGGUAAUACGGAGGGUGCGAGCGUUAAUCGGAAUUACUGGGCGUAAAGCGCAUGCAGGCGGCUUGUUAAGCCAGAUGUGAAAGCCCGGGGCUCAACCUCGGAAUCGCAUUUGGGAACUGGCAGGCUAGAGUCUUGUAGAGGGGGGUAGAAUUUCAGGUGUAGCGGGUGAAAUGCGUAGAGAUCUGAAGGAUACCGGUGGGCGAAGGCGGCCCCUGGACAAAGACUGACGCUCAGAUGCGAAAGCGGUGGGGAGCAAACAGAUAGAUACCUGUAGUCCACCGCCGUAAACGAUUGUUCUACUUGGAAGGUUGGGUGGUCUUGAACCACUGGGCUUUCGG